GACGAACGCUGGCGGCGUGCCUAAUACAUGCAAGUAGAACGCACAGUUUAUACCGUAGCUUGCUACACCAUAGACUGUGAGUUGCGAACGGGUGAGUAACGCGUAGGUAACCUGCCUGGUAGCGGGGGAUAACUAUUGGAAACGAUAGCUAAUACCGCAUAAUAUUGAUUAUUGCAUGAUAAUUGAUUGAAAGAUGCUAUUGCAUCACUACCAGAUGGACCUGCGUUGUAUUAGCUAGUAGGUGAGGUAACGGCUCACCUAGGCGACGAUACAUAGCCGACCUGAGAGGGUGAUCGGCCACACUGGGACUGGGACACGGCCCAGACUCCUACGGGAGGCAGCAGUAGGGAAUCUUCGGCAAUGGACGAAAGGCUGACCGAGCAAAGCCGCGGGAGUGAAGAAGGGUUUCGGAUCGGAAAGCUCUGUUGUAAGAGAAGAACGGGUGUGAGAGUGGAAAGUUCACGUUGUGACGGUAUCUUACCAGAAAGGGACGGCUAACUACGUG
This 505-nucleotide ribosomal RNA is filed under the name uncultured bacterium. Its description in RNAcentral is "partial 16S ribosomal RNA". It matches the Rfam family "Bacterial small subunit ribosomal RNA", at positions 28 to 507 of the family's 1533-position model. The record is from RNAcentral.